Non-coding RNA from Capsicum annuum, 106 nucleotides. The record is from Rfam. Lineage: Eukaryota; Viridiplantae; Streptophyta; Magnoliopsida; Solanales; Solanaceae.
CCUCGUUGUUUGGACAUUGCAUCAAUUUAUCAUUGAAUCCUUGAAAAACUUCAUACAAGGGUUCACCACUAAGUUGGAAAAAAUUUGUAAUCUCGUCCCUUAGUUG